RNAcentral lists this ribosomal RNA (500 nucleotides) under uncultured bacterium. RNAcentral describes it as "partial 16S ribosomal RNA". It matches the Rfam family "Bacterial small subunit ribosomal RNA", at positions 30 to 523 of the family's 1533-position model. The record is from RNAcentral.
AUUGAACGCUGGCGGCAUGCCUUACACAUGCGAGUCGAACGGCAGCACGGACUUCGGUCUGGUGGCGAGUGGCGAACGGGUGAGUAAUGUAUCGGAACGUACCAUUGAGUGGGGGAUAACGUAGCGAAAGUUACGCUAAUACCGCAUAUACCCCGAGGGGGAAAGCAGGGGAUCUUAGGACCUUGUGCUCUUUGAGCGGCCGAUAUCAGAUUAGCUAGUUGGUGAGGUAAAGGCUCACCAAGGCGACGAUCUGUAGCGGGUCUGAGAGGAUGAUCCGCCACACUGGGACUGAGACACGGCCCAGACUCCUACGGGAGGCAGCAGUGGGGAAUUUUGGACAAUGGGGGCAACCCUGAUCCAGCCAUGCCGCGUGAGUGAAGAAGGCCUUCGGGUUGUAAAGCUCUUUCAGCCGGGAAGAAAUCGUGGUGGCUAAUAUCCAUCAUGGAUGACGGUACCGGAAUAAGAAGCACCGGCUAACUACGUGCCAGCCGCCGCAGUAA